CGGUAUGCCUUAACAUGCAAGUCGUACGAGAGUCUGUAACUCAAGUGGCGGACGGGUGAGUAACACGUAAGAAUUUACCUUUAGGAGGGGGAUAACAACUGGAAACGGUUGCUAAUACCCCAUAUGCUUUCGAGUGAAAUGGUCCUUUGGGCCGCCUAGAGAGAAGCUUGCGGCUGAUUAGCUUGUUGGUGAGGUAAUGGCUCACCAAGGCGACGAUCAGUAUCUGGUUUGAGAGGACGAUCAGACACACUGGAACUGAGACACGGUCCAGACUCCUACGGGAGGCAGCAGAGGGGAAUUUUCCGCAAUGGGCGAAAGCCUGACGGAGCAAUACCGCGUGAGGGAUGACGGCCUAUGGGUUGUAAACCUCUUUUUUCAGGGAGGAAUCAAUGACGUGUACCUGAAGAAUAAGCAUCGGCUAACUCCGUGCCAGCAGCCGCGGUAAGACGGAGGAUGCAAGUGUUAUCCGGAAUCACUGGGCGUAAAGCGUCUGUAGGUGGUUUAAUAAGUCAACUGUUAAAUCUUGAGGCUCAACCUCAAAAUCGCAGUCGAAACUAUUAGACUAGAGUAUAGUAGGGGUAAAGGGAAUUUCCAGUGGAGCGGUGAAAUGCGUA
RNAcentral lists this ribosomal RNA (614 nucleotides) under uncultured bacterium. RNAcentral's name for it is "bacterial SSU rRNA". It matches the Rfam family "Bacterial small subunit ribosomal RNA", at positions 40 to 692 of the family's 1533-position model. The record is from RNAcentral.